GUGAUGAUGGCGUACCAAAGCCGACUCGUGACGUGCUCGCGACGGACUGA
RNAcentral lists this small nucleolar RNA (50 nucleotides) under Pyrobaculum oguniense TE7. RNAcentral's name for it is "POGsR17". The record is from RNAcentral. Lineage: Archaea; Thermoproteati; Thermoproteota; Thermoprotei; Thermoproteales; Thermoproteaceae.